Helianthus annuus (common sunflower) is the source of this 629-nucleotide long non-coding RNA. RefSeq lists it as uncharacterized. The transcript has 2 exons. The record is from RefSeq and is a predicted model, not a curated record. Lineage: Eukaryota; Viridiplantae; Streptophyta; Magnoliopsida; Asterales; Asteraceae.
UGUUGUACUAGCUUUUCCAACACUUUUUUGUUAUCCACACGCGGCCUUUUCUACCUGCAACAUAAUCAAGAAACUCAGGGAUCAGAUGAGAUCAUGAGAUAGAGAGACUUCAAGAGGGAGAGACCAGCCUCGCAGCGGUGGUUCUUAGGGCGGCGACGGUUAACUCAAGCGAACGAUGAUGGCAGUACUAGCGGCUAGGGUUCAGAUAUGUUUAGGGUUCAGAUCUGUUACCGGUAAAGGAGAUGGAGCCUCGCAGCGGUGGUUCUUAGAGCGGCGUCGGUUAACUCAAGCGAACGAUGAUGGCAGUACUACCGGCUAAGGUUCAAAUCUGUUUAGGGUUCAGAUCUGUUACCGGUAACUAGGGUUUCUACCAGGUCUCCGAUUUUGAGUUGUGGUGUUAGCGGUUGUGAUGGUUGCGGUGGCUAUUGUUGUGAUUAUUUUGGUGCUUUUAAUCUACCAUGGAAAUAAAAAUUUAAACAUAGUUACAUAUAUCUAAAAAGUGUGAAGUUACAUGGGAAAAUGAAAUGAUGGUAUCGUCAAAGGUAAAUGAGCAAGAAUGAUUUAUCGUGUAAUUAUUUGUACAACUUGCCAGAAAAAAAAUAUCCCUUAAUAUAUAAUAUAUUUUAACA